AGACCAGUCUCAGUCCAAGCCGAUCAGUCCCCUCACUCCGGCUCCCCCAGGUCCGAGGUUCCCCCGGUUCAAGUAACACUUCAGUACAGAUGAAUGUUCAAGUAUUGUGCGGGGAGACAGCGGAAGGGGCCAGGGGGCCCAGCGGCUGCCAGCCGGGCACAAGCUUCAGGUGAGAGCUGGCGGCAGGAACGCAGGUCUAGGCGGCGAAGGCGCGGGCAGCGGCGGAACAGCGGGAGGCAGUGGUCCGUGAGGCGGUGGCAACCUGAGGGGGGCGGCAGUGGCGGCGGAGACCACGAAGCUGCUACCUGCAGGGCGAGAACUUCCAAACCUGGAUCCUUCCAGCAUCUGACCUGUACAUGCACCUGCCGUCCUGCUAGCUCCUGACUGGCCCACAGGCCUUUCGGACCAAACAUGUCAAACCUGAGCACUUCGCGUUCCUGGAACCUGCUCCUCCUCUGGUAUUCCCGAGCUUGGGGAAUAGCGCUCCUGCCCACCCAGGUUUGUGGGCCAGAAACUCAGCUGAAGAGUCGUCACCCUGCUGCCCAGGCUGACUGGGAGCUCUGCAAGGGCCCAGGCCCACACUCUGAAGAUAUAAAGUCUGUGCUUUCAGUCAAUAUUUGUAACUGAACGAAUAAUACAGGUUACAGUUAGGGCACUGAGUAGUUUCUACUUCCUGGGUACUGUCCUUGGUUCUUUAUGUACAUUAGCUCAUAAAGACACUACGACUUUGGGGAGAGCGUGUGCUCUGAAUUGUGUAAGACUAUUGAAUCACAGACCUGUACCUCUGAAACAAUUAAUACGUUAUAUGUUAAAAAAAAAAAAAAGAAGAUAGUAGGAAUGGAAAAAUG
Molecule: long non-coding RNA, 848 nt
Organism: Zalophus californianus (California sea lion)
Lineage: Eukaryota; Metazoa; Chordata; Mammalia; Carnivora; Otariidae
Exons: 4
Source: RefSeq, a predicted model, not a curated record